This 408-nucleotide ribosomal RNA is filed under the name uncultured bacterium. RNAcentral's name for it is "bacterial SSU rRNA". It matches the Rfam family "Bacterial small subunit ribosomal RNA", at positions 509 to 916 of the family's 1533-position model. The record is from RNAcentral.
CAGCAGCCGCGGUAAUACAGAGGGUGCGAGCGUUAAUCGGAAUUACUGGGCGUAAAGCGCACGUAGGCGGCUUGGCAUGUCGGGUGUGAAAUCCCCGGGCUCAACCUGGGAACUGCAUCCGAAACUGCCUUGCUAGAGUAUGGGAGAGGGAAGUGGAAUUUCCGGUGUAGCGGUGAAAUGCGUAGAUAUCGGAAGGAACAUCAGUGGCGAAGGCGACUUCCUGGACCAAUACUGACGCUCAGGUGCGAAAGCGUGGGGAGCAAACAGGAUUAGAUACCCUGGUAGUCCACGCCCUAAACGAUGACAACUAGAUGUCGGGAGGGUUUGCCUUCCGGUGUCGUAGCUAACGCGUUAAGUUGUCCGCCUGGGAAGUACGGCCGCAAGGUUGAAACUUAAAGGAAUUGACGG